GACGAACCGUCCUAACGUUGUUCGGAAUCACUGGGCUUAAAGGGCGCGUAGGCGGCUUGCCAAGUCAGGGGUGAAAUCCUGCAGCUUAACUGUAGAAGGGCCUUUGAUACUGGCGAGCUCGAGGGAGGUAGGGGUAUGUGGAACUUCCGGUGGAGCGGUGAAAUGCGUUGAUAUCGGAAGGAACGCCGGUGGCGAAAGCGGCGUGCUGGCCCUCUUCUGACGCUGAGGCGCGAAAGCCAGGGGAGCGAACGGG
This 253-nucleotide ribosomal RNA is filed under the name uncultured bacterium. RNAcentral's name for it is "partial 16S ribosomal RNA". It matches the Rfam family "Bacterial small subunit ribosomal RNA", at positions 524 to 776 of the family's 1533-position model. The record is from RNAcentral.